CCCUUAGAUGUUCUGGGCCGCACGCGCGCUACAAUGAUGCAUUCAACGAGUUUAUAACCUUGGUUGAAAAGCCUGGGUAAUCUUUUGAACUUUCGUCGUGAUGGGGCUAGACCCUUGCAAUUAUUGGUCUCCAACGAGGAAUUCCUAGUAAACGCAAGUCAUCAGCUUGCAUUGAUCACGUCCCUGCCCUUUGUACACACCGCCCGUCGCACCUACCGAUUGAAUGGUCCGGUGAAAUCUUCGGAUUGAGACUUUGAUUUCUUCACGGAAAACGCUGUUUUAAGAAGUUGAUUAAACCUUACCAUUUAGAGGAAGGUGAAGUCGUAACA
Molecule: ribosomal RNA, 329 nt
Filed under: uncultured eukaryote
Lineage: Eukaryota
Description: partial 18S ribosomal RNA
Rfam family: Eukaryotic small subunit ribosomal RNA
Source: RNAcentral